RNAcentral lists this long non-coding RNA (328 nucleotides) under Elaeis guineensis (African oil palm). Its description in RNAcentral is "long non-coding RNA (EGUI_LNC001884)". The record is from RNAcentral. Lineage: Eukaryota; Viridiplantae; Streptophyta; Magnoliopsida; Arecales; Arecaceae.
AUACAAAACCUUCUUAUGAUAUUUUUUUUGAUUAUUAGCAAGUUGUCUUUAUCGCCCAUCAAUUCUUAUUUCUCCAACAAUCAUUAAAGAAUCAAUAUUUUGGAAGUAGCAUAUUGUUACUACCGGUUAAUAUAGUGGGAGGCACAACAAAAAAUUAUCGUAGUUGUGUCAUGCAAAUCUAUUGAAUCUCCUAUCAUUUUAUUUGAGUUUUUGUUUUAGCCAUCAUUGCAACAUUUUUUUUUAAUAUCUAAAUAUAUUUGAGGAUCCAUUAGAAUAAAUGCCAUCUUUCUCACCAUACUACGUCAUUUGAAUCAAAAAUACGAUGGUG